GGCCUAACACAUGCAAGUCGAACGGUAACAGGAAGCAGCUUGCUGCUUCGCUGACGAGUGGCGGACGGGUGAGUAAUGUCUGGGAAACUGCCUGAUGGAGGGGGAUAACUACUGGAAACGGUAGCUAAUACCGCAUAAUGUCGCAAGACCAAAGAGGGGGACCUUCGGGCCUCUUGCCAUCGGAUGUGCCCAGAUGGGAUUAGCUUGUUGGUGGGGUAACGGCUCACCAAGGCGACGAUCCCUAGCUGGUCUGAGAGGAUGACCAGCCACACUGGAACUGAGACACGGUCCAGACUCCUACGGGAGGCAGCAGUGGGGAAUAUUGCACAAUGGGCGCAAGCCUGAUGCAGCCAUGCCGCGUGUAUGAAGAAGGCCUUCGGGUUGUAAAGUACUUUCAGCGGGGAGGAAGGGAGUAAAGUUAAUACCUUUGCUCAUUGACGUUACCCGCAGAAGAAGCACCGGCUAACUCCGUGCCAGCAGCCGCGGUAAUACGGAGGGUGCAAGCGUUAAUCGGAAUUACUGGGCGUAAAGCGCACGCAGGCGGUUUGUUAAGUCAGAUGUGAAAUCCCCGGGCUCAACCUGGGAACUGCAUCUGAUACUGGCAAGCUUGAGUCUCGUAGAGGGGGGUAGAAUUCCAGGUGUAGCGGUGAAAUGCGUAGAGAUCUGGAGGAAUACCGGUGGCGA
This 684-nucleotide ribosomal RNA is filed under the name uncultured bacterium. RNAcentral's name for it is "bacterial SSU rRNA". It matches the Rfam family "Bacterial small subunit ribosomal RNA", at positions 45 to 718 of the family's 1533-position model. The record is from RNAcentral.